GAUGAACGCUGGCGGCGUGCUUAACACAUGCAAGUCGAACGGUGAAGGCGGAGCUUGCUCUGCUGGAUCAGUGGCGAACGGGUGAGUAACACGUGAGCAACCUGCCCCUGACUUUGGGAGAAGCGCUGGAAACGGCGCCUAAUACUGGAUCCGAGCUGCGAAGGCAUCUUCAGCAGCUGGAAAGAACUGCGGUCAGGGCUGAGCUCGCGGCCUAUCGGCUUGCUGGUGAGGUAGCGGCUGACCAAGGCAUCGACGGGUAGCCGGCCCGGGAGGGUGGCCGGCCACCCUGGGACUAAGGCACGGCGCAGACUCCAACGGGGGGCAGAGGUCGGGAGUAUUGCACAGUGAGCGCAAGCCUGAUGCGGCGGCGCCGCGUUUGGGACGACCGCCUUCGGGUUAUAAACCUCUUUUAGCAGGGAAGAAGCGAAAGUGACGGUACCUACAGAAAAAGCGCCGGCUAACUACGUG
RNAcentral lists this ribosomal RNA (468 nucleotides) under uncultured bacterium. RNAcentral's name for it is "partial 16S ribosomal RNA". It matches the Rfam family "Bacterial small subunit ribosomal RNA", at positions 28 to 507 of the family's 1533-position model. The record is from RNAcentral.